Triplophysa dalaica is the source of this 1606-nucleotide long non-coding RNA. RefSeq lists it as uncharacterized. The record is from RefSeq and is a predicted model, not a curated record. The transcript is spliced from 3 exons. NCBI's taxonomy places the organism in Eukaryota, Metazoa, Chordata, Actinopteri, Cypriniformes, Nemacheilidae.
CAAAUUCCCUGCAAACACACAAGCUGCAAUAUUUCUAAUGCUAUAUAUUAUUAAAUUAUAUAUUAAAUACACAAAUAAAGCUUAUAAUAACAACACAUCUGAGUGAGACAGUCGCUGUAGGGAUUUUUAUUGACCACCAGAUAGCGAAGUAGAGCACUGUGUCAAAAGCUUCUAUUAAACCAUGCAGUUUGUUGAAAAAGCCUCACAGAUUCAGAAGGACGGAAGUUCUCCAGGAACAGAGUUGGACACACCUGCCCUAGGUGCUGUUUCUAUCCUCAAACCGUGCAUUGAAUGUGUUCAGCUCAAGACAGUGGCGUAGACAGGGGAGGGGCCAUGGGGGCACUGGCCCCUCUUGAAAACUGAUUGGCCCCCCAGUGUGCCCCCACCCUUCUACUUGUCUGUCACUCAAAAAUUCAAAUCAUAAUCUUUCAGCUUGUAGUAGAAUAAUUUAUGAUUCCGCGUCGCGAUGCUUCUCAACGAGGACCAAGAAUAGCAAACUGUUUUCCAACGGAAAAAAAGUUGAUCUAUUUUAUACAGCUUAUUUUCUUUCGAUUAGCGAGUUGUUGCAGUGCUAGAGUUUGGUAACGUUACCGUCUUUCAGUGUUAGGACAGACCAGGCUCGAUGUAUUCUCUGAGAGCAGACCAACAUAAUGCUAAUAAUUACAUUUAACGUUACUAUGCUCCUGAGGCUGAAUGUAACAGGGUUUUCCUGCGUUAUGAUUUUUUUCCCAGCCGAUAAGCAAGUGAUAUUGCAAGCGAGGUGCCGGAACAAAUCGUAUGAUGUUUAUCUAGGCUAACGCUCAACACUUUAAAAGCUAACGUUACGUUAACUUUCAGAGGUGGAGGUCUUGAGUUACGUUACUACACUCUAAAUAAAGAAAAUUAAGUUACAUGACAUUGACUUCGAGUCUUGAGAACGAAUAUUCUAAAGUCUCGAACCGCAUGCCUUGAUAAUGACUUGUUUUUUGGGGGUUUAAACAUUUUACCUGUUUUUAGUUUAUAAUUUUCCAGCUGGGCUGGUUGUGAUAAAAGGUAAAGUUUUUGUCAUCCGCCAAUAAAACCAUAGCAUUUAAACAAAUAGUAAUUUCCUCCUUUUUACCUCUGUUAUCUCAGGCAGUGUAACAGGACGUAAAGGCAGGGAGAUAUUCAGUAUUUUUCUGCAAAGAAAGUGCCAGCCAGUGCCAGCCAGUGAGGGAGAGUCCGCGUGAUGGUUUAACGUUACACACAGUGAGUUCAGAGCCUGCCUGCUCAACAGGAGACCUCUUGGUUCAGGAAGAUUUGAGCAUAAAUCAGAACAGCCCUGUACACCCAGCUGUCUCUAGGGAUGAAACAGAUGAGAGUGAAAGUGAUGUGAAAGAGAUGGAUACUUGUCACCCACCUUCAGAAGUGUAAUCUGAGCUUCCACUUACUUCUGAUACUGCUCUUACUGGACCUGAUGACAGAAGAAGAAUGGAGAAGUGAUCAUCUCUGCUUGGUUGAAUGAAGUUGGAGAAAACCUUUUUCAAGUUAACCCUGUUAAAGUCUCUGACAACAAAAGUCAUAACUGAUCCCUGUGUCCAAUUAUUUUAAGACAACAGAAGUAUUUUACAAAUAUUACUAAAGUACA